This is a non-coding RNA of Ceratotherium simum simum (southern white rhinoceros), 994 nucleotides long. The record is from RefSeq and is a predicted model, not a curated record. Lineage: Eukaryota; Metazoa; Chordata; Mammalia; Perissodactyla; Rhinocerotidae.
CUCGUGGACUGGAGACCCAAGAUAAUCCUUACAAAACAUCUAUUCAUUCUACAAGUGAGAAUUUCAGGAAUACUCGAUACUGACCUUGGCAAGACCAAUGGACCGAGAUUGAGUGAUGGGUUUGUGUGCGUUGUGGCCGACGUGCGUUUUGGUGCUUUGUCUGCCAGUUUAAGAAUAUUUUAGCCCUGGGGAAGGGAGAUUUAUGGUAUUUUGAUUAAUGAAUACAAUGAAGACUUAAACUUGAAAAUAAAAUUAUUAGAUACAACAUUAAUUUCAUAGCUUAUUUUUGAGCACAAACUUGAUUUUGUUGCUUCAAGAAAGGACCUGCUGAUGAUUAAUGGUAGUUUUCUAUUUCAAUGUGGCCACUUUAAUUGAUAUGUAAACCAUUAUUUUUUAAGGGAAAUAAAAUAAGGAGGCAAUACACCCUAGCAAAAAGGACACACUGUAUCAGAUUCUUAAUUGCUAAUUUUAAUUUGGGCUUUUAUUUGAUUUCUGCUAUGAACUGGCUAUGUGACUUUGGAUGCUUAUGAUCUCUUCAAUUUGUUAAUGGAAAGAAAUGCCAUUUACACUGGAUGGCUACAUAGCAACCUUAUUCUGGUAAAAUAAUCUCUUAAGUCCUUGUAUACACAGUCCCUAACUGUUGGCUUUAUAAGGUCAGUACCAGCAGACAGCUCUGUGGCUGUUAGGAGCUCAGCGUGUCCAAGAUAGCACUAACUGGAACAAACACGAAACAGCAGGGUGUUUAAACAGUACUGAUUGAUUUGAAUGUACCCCAGUCUGAACCGAGGACUCUCAAAAAAAGAACCCACCAGCAAAAUUACAUUAAUUAUGGAGAUUGUUAGGUUGUAUCAGUGGAGUUUAGCUGUGCCUUAUUAAAAAGCAAAGGUGAGGGAAUGGAAUCCCUUAAAUUCAGAUCUUAAACUAUUAAAGACGACAACUUGCAGGUCAACUUUUAUUUCUGACUGCUGAGUACUUUUGGAGGAGAAAGCUGUGG